This 253-nucleotide ribosomal RNA is filed under the name uncultured bacterium. RNAcentral describes it as "partial 16S ribosomal RNA". It matches the Rfam family "Bacterial small subunit ribosomal RNA", at positions 524 to 776 of the family's 1533-position model. The record is from RNAcentral.
UACGUAGGUGGCAAGCGUUAUCCGGAAUUAUUGGGCGUAAAGCGCGCGCAGGCGGUUUCUUAAGUCUGAUGUGAAAGCCCUGGGCUCAACCUAGGAAGUGCACUCGAAACUGCUUCGCUUGAGUGUCGGAGAGGAAAGCGGAAUUCUCGGUGUAGAGGUGAAAUUCGUAGAUAUCGAGAGGAACACCGGUGGCGAAGGCGGCUUUCUGGACGAUAACUGACGCUGAGACGCGAAAGCGUGGGGAGCAAACAGG